Molecule: ribosomal RNA, 424 nt
Filed under: uncultured bacterium
Lineage: Bacteria
Description: bacterial SSU rRNA
Rfam family: Bacterial small subunit ribosomal RNA
Source: RNAcentral
AGGGAAUCUUCCGCAAUGGACGAAAGUCUGACGGAGCAACGCCGCGUGAGUGAUGAAGGUUUUCGGAUCGUAAAGCUCUGUUGCCAGGGAAGAACGUCUUGGAGAGUAACUGCUCUGAGAGUGACGGUACCUGAGAAGAAAGCCCCGGCUAACUACGUGCCAGCAGCCGCGGUAAUACGUAGGGGGCGAGCGUUGUCCGGAAUUAUUGGGCGUAAAGCGCGCGCAGGCGGCUGUUUAAGUCUGGUGUUUAAGCCUGGGGCUCAACCUCAGGUCGCACUGGAAACUGGACAGCUUGAGUGCAGAAGAGGAGAGUGGAAUUCCACGUGUAGCGGUGAAAUGCGUAGAGAUGUGGAGGAACACCAGUGGCGAAGGCGACUCUCUGGGCUGUAACUGACGCUGAGGCGCGAAAGCGUGGGGAGCAAAC